Molecule: long non-coding RNA, 1507 nt
Organism: Maniola jurtina (meadow brown)
Lineage: Eukaryota; Metazoa; Arthropoda; Insecta; Lepidoptera; Nymphalidae
Exons: 3
Source: RefSeq, a predicted model, not a curated record
GAUACCCAGAUACACACGUCAAUCUUAUGACACCUCGGGGGUUUAAAAUGAUAGCUCUCAAACACCAAACAAACCACGUUGUACAUCGAUUACAGAAUUACAAGAAUAUGAGACGAAUGUUUGCUAUAUCAAGGGGCUCGGGAAAGCGUAAUGAGAGAACAGCUUGUGAAGCGUGAGAGCAGAAACAGAAUUGUAUUGGCAAGAGCGUUGAUACCGAGGAAGAGUAUUUUGAACAAGAACAUAAUAGUUGCAGCGUGUCCACUUUUUUGGAUUUUUGGAUCAAUUUUAUAUAUGAAAUAUGGAAUUUAAUUGAUAUAUUUGGCCAAGUCAAGAAUUAGUUGAAUACAUUAUGCCGGAGACAUUUAAAAGAGGUUUCCCAAAUUCCAAGUACAAGAAUUAUUGUGGACACAACAGAAAUACCCAUUACAAAGCCUGGUAAUCCUAUAGCACAGCAGGUGACAUUUAGCAAUUAUAAACACAGAAAUACUGUGAAAACUAUGAUUGGGGCAACACCUGGUAGUGUAAUAUCAUAUAUCUCAGAAUGUUAUGGUGGUUCCGUUAGUGAUAGACAUAUUAUAGAAAGAUCUGAACUGGUAAAUCGUUGUGACAGUGGUGACUGACUCUAUUAUGGUUGAUAGAGGUUUCAAUGUGCAGGAUAUAUUUGCUACAAAAGACAUUACUAUUAAUAUUCCAACAUAUUUGAAAGGAAAGACACAAAUAACUGGUAUUAGAAUAGUCCAAGGCCGAAACUAGCAACCAAACGAGUGCACAUAGAACGUAUUAUAAGAUAAGAUUUUAAAAAGUGAAUUAAGCCCAUACCAUGUAGCCUUAGCAUCUAGAAUUAUAUUCAUUUGUGCUUUUGUAUGUAAUUUUAGAGAAAAUAUUAUGAAUUAAAAGCUGUUUUAUCUCCGUUAUAUAAAUUUUUUAUUACACAUUCUUUUUCUUUUUAGAGGUGAUUUUUAAUCACAGCAGCUUUAAAUAAGUUGUGAUAAAAAUAAUCAAGUUUGUCUAACAUGUAGUUAAUGAAUUCUUCAUCAUAUUCAAUGAAUAUGACUUCUAAACUUUUAAAAGUAUAAACCAAUAAGUUACAAAAUUUUCUUUUUGUGACAUACAAUUAAUUGCUCUUGUAUUUGAUAAUAAUAUAUGUUUUUCUUUUUGAAUGAGAGUUUUCCUUUUUCAUAUUGUAGAUAUGGCAUAUUCAGUGGACUGACUUCUUUGUUCCUCGAACUAUAUGGACAUUUUACUUCAAUUAUUGUUUCUGCUCCCAGUAAGCCGUCAGGGGAUGCUCCUAGGUAAGGGCGAUCCUUACACAAAAAUAACCUACAUUCUACAAUUUCAAAAUUUAUAAUUGAACCAAACAAUGGGCGAUUGUCUGAACACCACAGGCCACUGUGGCGACUGCAUCCAUUUCUGAACGCAGCUGUCACUCACAAUAACUGACAUUGACGUGCGUUUGUUUGGCGCGUUAGAAAGAUGACACAUGUCUAUUCUACCGCUCUCUUGUCCU